Non-coding RNA from Theobroma umbraticum, 2554 nucleotides. The record is from RefSeq and is a predicted model, not a curated record. Lineage: Eukaryota; Viridiplantae; Streptophyta; Magnoliopsida; Malvales; Malvaceae.
AAGUGCAGGGGGGAGCAGGUGGACAAGUGGAGUUUCGCCAACUCUGCGUACGCGCAGAUAUUCCCUAUUCCUAUUUCCUCCCCAUUCCUUUCAUCACCCCCAAGGUCUCCACUUCUCUCUUUUUCUUCUUCUUCUUCUCACUGUUCUUGGCAUACCCGCACUCCGCCAAACAAACAGAAAAAAUGCAAAGCAAUUCCUCUUAAUUUCUACCAACUCUACCCUAAACCCCUCUCUCCCGAUUCCCAGCCAAAAAUAUUUCACCAAAAUUUUACCAAACAAGAGCUUCCUAUCUCUAACGAAUACACAUAAAUAUAUCGUUUGGUCUAUAGUUUAUGACGAUGGCUCACCAAAGUUCUGAUCGCUUAACCUCUGCUGACACUGCGGAGGCUUUGAACGUUUUGGUUGUGGAUAGGAACAACAACCUUGCUAAUCCCAACCUGUUGACUGAUAAGGAUUUGGUUGCAGUUGGUCCCUUGAGGGACGGUACGGAUCAGUCAAGAUUCAUGCCCUCUGUGGUUGACUCUAAGACAACCUUUUUGUCUAAUGCCUAUUCCCUCGAGUCACAAUUCCAUCUUGAAGCUGAUAAACAGGGUUCAUUCCUUCCAUAUUUGAGUGCUAAGGGCCUGGAAAGUGGCUUUCAUGGCAUCUACAAUGAAACUGCAUCUCUUGGUUUUCAUGGUUUUAGGCACAGCUCUCAAAUGCCACAUAGACCUUAUCUUCCAGUUUCAUCUCAGCUGCCUCUUGUAGGGGAUCCUAGUUGGUUACCCACUACAAGGCAUUUCCGUACCUCAGAUUCAUCUUAUCACCAGUCAUCAGUUCCUCUAAAUAUUCCAAAAGUUGCUUCAAAGGCUCAAUUUUCCCAUCUAGAGUUUCCUGUGAAUAUUGAGCAACAACUGGAUGGAAAAAGAUUUGGCCUGAGACCAAAUUAUCUCCCUCCAUCAGGAUUAUAUGGUGGAGGAAGCAACUUCCCUGGAAACUCUGGCAAGUGUUGCAUGCAAUAUCAAGGGUUUGAUGGAUUUGGGGCUGCUAGAUUCUGCUCAGACUGUUCAAAGCCUUUUAUUGGGAAGAGUUCUUUGUUUCAGACAUCAUAUCCAGCAGCUUCUCCGAAACAAGUUGGUUCACUGGAGUUUCCUUCAAACAACCUUGGAACGGCUCCUUUCUCGAAAGGAUCAUUUUAUGGUUUUGUUUCUUCUUCUGGCUCGGGCUCUAGAAGCUACACUGGUAGCCGAAGUGAUCAAAGUUCUGGCUGUGGCAGUGUUUCCAGUUCUAGCUUAGGAAUAAAUGGUCAGAACUGGCCUUCGCUUGAUGAAGCAAGACAAGGAGGAAACUGCAAUGACUUUUCAUGUAGUUCUACUGUAACACUUGAUACAUUAAGUGAGCGUAACAAGGGACCUAGGGCAUUUAAGCCUAAAAGUCAGGUUACGGCCAAAGGUUUUAUUGUUGAUAGCAGCAAGAAUGGCCCAACUAAUGGCAUUAGCAAUGGAUCAUACAACCGACAGAAUUUUGUCACUGACUAUGUGGAUGCAAAGUUCUUUGUGAUAAAAUCUUAUAGUGAAGAUAAUAUUCACAAGAGCAUAAAGUAUGGUGUCUGGGCAAGCACCCCAAGUGGCAACAAAAAAUUGGAUACUGCUUAUCAUGAGGCAAAAGAGAAACAAGGGACAUCACCUGUCUUUCUGCUAUUUUCGGUGAAUGCUAGUGCCCAGUUUUGUGGAGUGGCUGAGAUGGUGGGACCUGUUGACUUUGACAAAAGCGUGGAAUAUUGGCUUCAGGAUAAGUGGUCGGGGCAAUUCCCAGUAAAGUGGCACAUUAUUAAAGAUGUCCCCAACAGUCAGUUCCGCCACAUCCUGCUUGAAAAUAAUGACAACAAGCCGGUUACUAACAGUAGGGAUACUCAAGAGGUAAGGAUUCAUUUGGGAUUGACACUUUAUAGCCACUUUUGAGUGGUGAUGUGAUACUUGGCGUUUCCGGUUGCAUUCAAAUUUAGUGCCAUUACGGCCUCACAUCGUGGUUGUUUUACUUGAGCUGCUGAGAUGAUUAUGUUGGUCUAGAAUCAAAUUGAAUUUGGCCAAGAUAACAUGAAAUUUGUGUACUUGAUUUCCACCAUCAUUAUUUGCCUGUACUUCUUAAGUCAUGAGGGUGGUGUAUUUAUAAAUUUUUGUUGAAAUGUUUUGAUGUAUAACUCGAUAAACUGCAAGUCACAAUGUACAUAUCAGAGCUAGAAGCAACCCUUGUUUCGGUUUGAACAACUUGUGUGUAGGCAUGUGUUGCAUGCACAAUUUGUUAUGUUAGGAGUUACUGUGAAUGCAAGCAAAAUUUCAUGUGCACUGCUGAUAUGUAAGACUUGAUGAUGUGCCAUCCAAUGAAUCCAGUUUUCGCACCAUUGCACUUAUUUUAUCUGACUGUGCUUACAUCAAGUAAGGUGGAAUUGGAACAGGGUGUUGAGAUAUUGAACAUUUUUAAAAAUUAUGAAAGUCAUUCAUCCAUCCUAGAUGAUUUUUACUUUUAUGAAGAACGGCAGAGAGCAAUGCAGGAAAGGAAGGCUAGACAGCUAACU